Molecule: non-coding RNA, 89 nt
Organism: Meloidogyne enterolobii
Lineage: Eukaryota; Metazoa; Nematoda; Chromadorea; Rhabditida; Meloidogynidae
Source: the annotation of a GenBank genome assembly
GCCCCGUAGCUCUGUGGUAGAGCACAUACAUUUGUAUGAGCGAAAAAAUAACUGUCAGAGGUUGCAGGUUCGAAUCCUGCCCAGUGGCU